RNAcentral lists this long non-coding RNA (3349 nucleotides) under Homo sapiens (human). Its description in RNAcentral is "HSALNT0300218". Lineage: Eukaryota; Metazoa; Chordata; Mammalia; Primates; Hominidae. The record is from RNAcentral.
CAACUACACGACUUUAAACCGUUUUAAGAGGCAUGAUGGAUUGGAGAUUUGGCGGAUGAAUCAUUCAGUGUGGAAGUAGACGAACAGGCAUGAUGAGGUUGUGCACAAAAGCUGGUUGGAAUGAUGAGGGUGUGACUUCAGUCACAGGAGUGAUGGAGAGGCAUAACACCAUCUGAGAGAUGUGAACAGCUUCCUGUCUCCAAGGGGAUUUUUUCCCACAGAAAUAUAUUGCUGAUUGGAUGUUGCCUCUCUAAUUUUGGAGACCAUAUGUUCUAGGUAUUCCGGGAAAAAUCUGCAUUUCAAAUCCUGGAUCCAUUGUUCCCAAAAGCCAUGUAAGAAUCCCAACAGAGAUAGGUCCCUCUCAUGGAUAUGUCCUAUGUCCCAGGGAUACCGCUCAAAGCAUUUUGUGGCUGAAGACAUUUAAUCUUUCAUAGAAACUCCUGAAGAAGAUGUUAUUGCUAUUAUAAUCAUAUGUAUUUGGAAAUGAAGACUUUGAAAGGUUCUAACUUAUUCAACAUUUCUCAACCAGCAUGUGGCAAAGUUCUGAAAGUCUGUUAUUCUAACCAACAUCCUACCUUGAGGAGCAAUGAUGUUCACCUGUCUGGUUGCCACAACUCACGUCCUUCUGUGGGCAGCAGAGUUCCAAGACGUUCCCCAAGAUCUCAUUUUCUGGAGGUGCAUGUCUCCCGUGACCCCCUCUUUGGAUUGCCCGCAGAGCCCGUGAAGAUGGUGUUAUCACUCCUGUGAUUACUUUACUGAUCAGGUGACUUUGAGUCAAUCAAAAGGUAGAUUAUCCAGGUGUGCCUGAUUUGAUCAGGUGGUCCCUUAAGGAGGCUUAAAAUGACCCUUUCUGAAGUAGAGUAAUUGGAAAAGUAAGAGGGUCUAUGGGUGGGGUCACCUGGCAAGGAACUGAACUCAGCCUCCAUGAGCUCUGGCCACCAGCUGACCUUUAGCAAGAAAGCAAAUCUUUCUUUGGUCAGUCUCCACAACAGGACGAAGCUGGCUGAGCCCUUGCCUUUGGCCCUGUGAGAUGCUGACCCGAGUAUCCAGCGAACACGUGCCAGAGUCCUGACCCAUGGAAACUGAGAUGAUGAGUCUGUGUUGCUUUAAGCCACUGUGUCUACAGUAAUUGGUUAGACAGCAAUAGAAAACUAAUAAACCUCCCUCUUUUUCAUUUACCAUCUUUCUUUCCUUCUGUCCACAAAUAUUUAUUGAUCAUUUAUUCAUCUAUUAGAACAUGUGCUAGGAACAGUAGCUACAACGGCCAGCAAAGCCAGAUAAGUUCUCUGCCCUCACGUAGUUUAUAAUAUCAUGAGGGAGACAGACAUAAAUCAAAUAACAUGGAUACAUGAAAAGCUGCAACUUAGAUGACUGAGGAGACCCCCAUAGCACCAUGACAGCUUGGUCUAGCCAGAGAGCAUAGGAAACAUGUUCCUCGUUGCAUUAGCAAUUAAGCAAGAGCUGACAGAUGAGCAGUAAUUGCCAAGGCCAAAUUGAAGGGAAGGACAAUGCAGGCAGAGGGAACAGCAUGAACAAAAUCUCUGUGGAGGCAAAAUCAUACAAGUGCAAGGGACAAAAAGAAGGUCCUCUGACUGCAGCUUGGCCACUGGGACAGGAGAUGAGGCUGGGCUGGUGCAUACAAAGCCUAAAAGCCAUAUGAAGUGCGUUUCCUUUGUAGGAAGAACAAUGAUGUCUUAGUCAGUUUGGGCUGCUAUAAUGAAUUACCAUAGAUUGGGUGGCUUGAAUGACAGACAUUGAUUUCUCACAGCUUUGGAGGCUGGGAAGGCUAAGAUCAAAGUCCUGACAGAUUCAAUGUGUGGUGGGUCUGCUUCCUGGUUUGAAGAUGGCCUUCUUUUCCUUGUAUCCUCACAUGGUAGAGGCAGUAAAGAGAAAGGAAGCAAGCUCUCUCCUGUCUCUCCUUAUGGGGGCACACAUCCACCACGAGGUCCCCAACCUCAGAACCCAUCGCCUCUCAAUGCCCCCACCUUCUAAUACCAUCCCAUUAGAGCUUAGGGUUUUGACAUAUGAAUUUGUGGAGGACACACACACAUGCCAUCCAUAACAAAUAGAAAGCCAAUUACAGGAGAAUGUCAAGCAAAAGGAAUGCAGAAAGGCAGGAAAUGGGCAGAACAGUGUAAAGUAAGUAGUAUAGACCCCAGGAGAACAGUGAGCCUCUACCUGAGUGAUGGCACAGGGAAGGAGAAAGGCGGGUCAGGGGGCAGAGAGGAGGCAGGGUGUGUGGUUUGGAAACUGAUUAGAUGAGUGGAGCAAGAGAGAAGGGUAGCCAGCUUUGGCUUUGCUGUCCUUAGAGAAUUCAGAGGAGGAGGAGGAGGGGGAGCAGAGGGAGGAGGAAAAGAAGGAUGGAGGAGAAGAGAGAGGAGGGCAAGGGGAAGCCAGGGGAGGAGGAGAGGAAGGAGUGAGGGUCAUUGGAAGGAAGGGGCAAAGCCUGGUUUGUCCCUCCUGGGGUGAAGGGUGGAACUGUCACACAUAUCUACAGCCAAAGGCACAAUCAGGAACAUUUACUACAUAGCAGAGGUGGCUGAAAUGAUGACAGUGAAUGGAAUCUUGGAUGAUGUGAAAGCAGAGAAAAAAGGCCAAGGACAGAACCAUCUGGACAGCCUCCAUAUCUUUCUCACCUCUUUGGGUGACUCAAAUUUUCUGUUUCAAAAAUAAAGGAAAAGUGGGUAGCAUGUACUUCCUUUCAUUAAGUAUCCAAUCAAUAAAAAAAUUGAAUAAUAAAUAAUAAAAAUUAUAUGUAUAGACUAUAAAAUAAAAUUUAAAUAGUUUGAAUUUUAGAGACUCUGAUGUGAUAUAAUAAGAAAUGAGGCUGUAUUAUAAUGACCUUGAGAUAAGAGAAGGACUCAGAUACAUUAUUACAGAUUUAAAUUGGGUGCUUUUAUGAAGUUUAAGUCAAUGAUGUAGCCAGCUGUGGUCAGAGGACCUAUGAUUGUACUGAAUCUAUGAUAUACUAUUGAGUUUGUUUGUUUUUAGCUGAGAUUCAAUGUAUUGUUAAUUUUUCCUUCAAGCAAAUCCGGCAGAUAUAGUUUUAUUUUUCAUCUGAAAAUGAAUGGAAAGAUUUUGUACUUUAUGGACUCAUCAAAUUAUAUGAGAAAAUUUACAUUUAGAAAUACAGGGUGUGUUGGCUUAUACCUGUAAUCCCAGUGUUUUGGGAGGCUGAGACAGGAGGAUCACUUGAGGCCAGGAGUUGAAGACCAGCCUGGGCAACAUAGCGAGACCUCGUCUCCACACACACGCACACGCACACACAAUAGAUAAAAAUAAAGGCCGGGCGCGGUGGCUCACGCCUGUAAUCCCAGCACUUUGGGAGGCCGAGGUGGGUGGAUCAUGA